RNAcentral lists this ribosomal RNA (492 nucleotides) under uncultured bacterium. Its description in RNAcentral is "partial 16S ribosomal RNA". It matches the Rfam family "Bacterial small subunit ribosomal RNA", at positions 29 to 507 of the family's 1533-position model. The record is from RNAcentral.
AGUGAACGCUGGCGGUAGGCCUAACACAUGCAAGUCGAACGGCAGCACAGUAAGAGCUUGCUCUUACGGGUGGCGAGUGGCGGACGGGUGAGGAAUACAUCGGAAUCUACUUUUUCGUGGGGGAUAACGUAGGGAAACUUACGCUAAUACCGCAUACGACCUACGGGUGAAAGCAGGGGAUCUUCGGACCUUGCGCGAUUGAAUGAGCCGAUGUCGGAUUAGCUAGUUGGCGGGGUAAAGGCCCACCAAGGCGACGAUCCGUAGCUGGUCUGAGAGGGUGAUCAGCCACACUGGAGCUGAGACACGGUCCAGACUCCUACGGGAGGCAGCAGUGGGGAAUAUUGGACAAUGGGCGCAAGCCUGAUCCAGCCAUACCGCGUGGGUGAAGAAGGCCUUCGGGUUGUAAAGCCCUUUUGUUGGGAAAGAAAAGCAGCAGGUUAAUACCCCGCUGUUCUGACGGUACCCAAAGAAUAAGCACCGGCUAACUUCGUG